GAUGAACGCUGGCGGCGUGCCUAAUACAUGCAAGUCGAGCGAACAGAUGAGGAGCUUGCUCCUCUGACGUUAGCGGCGGACGGGUGAGUAACACGUGGAUAACCUACCUAUAAGACUGGGAUAACUUCGGGAAACCGGAGCUAAUACCGGAUAAUAUAUUGAACCGCAUGGUUCAAUAGUGAAAGACGGUUUUGCUGUCACUUAUAGAUGGAUCCGCGCCGCAUUAGCUAGUUGGUAAGGUAACGGCUUACCAAGGCAACGAUGCGUAGCCGACCUGAGAGGGUGAUCGGCCACACUGGAACUGAGACACGGUCCAGACUCCUACGGGAGGCAGCAGUAGGGAAUCUUCCGCAAUGGGCGAAAGCCUGACGGAGCAACGCCGCGUGAGUGAUGAAGGUCUUCGGAUCGUAAAACUCUGUUAUUAGGGAAGAACAAAUGUGUAAGUAACGAUGCACGUCUUGACGGUACCGAAUCAGAAAGCCACGGCUAACUACGU
Molecule: ribosomal RNA, 496 nt
Filed under: uncultured bacterium
Lineage: Bacteria
Description: partial 16S ribosomal RNA
Rfam family: Bacterial small subunit ribosomal RNA
Source: RNAcentral